RNAcentral lists this ribosomal RNA (406 nucleotides) under uncultured bacterium. RNAcentral's name for it is "partial 16S ribosomal RNA". It matches the Rfam family "Bacterial small subunit ribosomal RNA", at positions 30 to 526 of the family's 1533-position model. The record is from RNAcentral.
AUUGAACGCUGGCGGCAGGCCUAACACAUGCAAGUCGAACGAGUGGCGGACGGGUGAGUAAUGUCUGGGAAACUGCCUGAUGGAGGGGGAUAACUACUGGAAACGGUAGCUAAUACCGCAUACCAUCGGAUGUGCCCAGAUGGGAUUAGCUAGUAGGUGGGGUAAUGGCUCACCUAGGCGACGAUCCCUAGCUGGUCUGAGAGGAUGACCAGCCACACUGGAACUGCGACACGGCCCAGACUCCUACGGGAGGCAGCAGUGGGGAAUAUUGCACAAUGGGCGCAAGCCUGAUGCAGCCAUGCCGCGUGUAUGAAGAAGGCCUUAGGGUUGUAAAGUACUUUCAGCGGGGAGGCGUUACCCGCAGAAGAAGCACCGGCUAACUCCGUGCCAGCCGCCGCGGUAAUUC